RNAcentral lists this ribosomal RNA (253 nucleotides) under uncultured bacterium. RNAcentral describes it as "partial 16S ribosomal RNA". It matches the Rfam family "Bacterial small subunit ribosomal RNA", at positions 524 to 776 of the family's 1533-position model. The record is from RNAcentral.
UACGGAGGGGGCUAGCGUUGUUCGGAAUUACUGGGCGUAAAGCGCACGUAGGCGGCUUUGUAAGUUAGAGGUGAAAGCCCAGGGCUCAACCCUGGAAUUGCCUUUAAGACUGCAUCGCUUGAACAUCGGAGAGGUAAGUGGAAUUCCGAGCGUAGAGGUGAAAUUCGUAGAUAUUCGGAAGAACACCAGUGGCGAAGGCGACUUACUGGACGAUUGUUGACGCUGAGGUGCGAAAGCGUGGGGAGCAAACAGG